GGGGCUGAAUUUUAAGCUCGACGUUGGUACAUUUCGAUGAUGGUUGCAGGUCGCUUGUCAGCGUUAUAGACAACACUCAAUAGAUGCAAAUCCAUUGAAACAAGCUGUAGCAGCAGUGAAGAAUUUCUUCGCUCCUAACUACGCUUACGCUGUAGCUUAAUUACUACAGCAACGCCUCUGACAACGCCAGAUAGCUAGAGUAGCGUUUUAUAUUUCUGGACGCUCAUGCGGUUUCACCCAGGCCGUGUGCUAAGACUAGGGUUGCUCGCUCGGUAUGUUUGUCUGUUUUUAAACCCGAGUGCUAAGACAAUAAAAUAGACUAAACCUGUAGAGCCUUAUCGACAAGUCCGGCGGACGCGGGGGCAGUACCCGCCAGCUCCACCA
This 384-nucleotide transfer-messenger RNA is filed under the name Candidatus Saccharimonadota bacterium. It matches the Rfam family "transfer-messenger RNA". From Rfam's summary of the family: Bacterial tmRNA, also known as 10Sa RNA or SsrA, is named for its dual tRNA and mRNA-like properties. Its role is to liberate the mRNA from a stalled ribosome. Lineage: Bacteria; Candidatus Saccharimonadota. The record is from RNAcentral.